UGGGUAACCUGCCUCAAAGAGGGGAAUAGCCUCCCGAAAGGGAAGAUUAAUACCGCAUAAUAUGUUUUGGUCACAUGGCCUUAACAUCAAAGGAUUUCUUCGGAAAUUCACUUUGAGAUGGACCCGCGGCGCAUUAGCUAGUUGGUGAGGUAACGGCUCACCAAGGCGACGAUGCGUAGCCGACCUGAGAGGGUNAUCGGCCACAUUGGAACUGAGACACGGUCCAGCUCCGUAGG
RNAcentral lists this ribosomal RNA (236 nucleotides) under uncultured bacterium. Its description in RNAcentral is "partial 16S ribosomal RNA". It matches the Rfam family "Bacterial small subunit ribosomal RNA", at positions 118 to 343 of the family's 1533-position model. The record is from RNAcentral.